AAUUUAAAAUGACAUAUAUUAUCAUAUUUUUGACUCCACAAAUCAAUAUUUUUAUUAAAUUAUUUAAAU
Molecule: transfer RNA, 69 nt
Filed under: Antheraea pernyi (Chinese oak silkmoth)
Lineage: Eukaryota; Metazoa; Arthropoda; Insecta; Lepidoptera; Saturniidae
Description: tRNA-His
Source: RNAcentral